CAGGGAUGCUGGCCCAUGUUGACUCUACAAGGUGUUGAAAGCGUUCCACAGGGAUGCUGGCCCAUGUUGACUCUACAAGGUGUUGAAAGGGUUCCACAGGGAUGCUGGCCCAUGUUGACUCUACAAGGUGUUGAAAGCGUUCCACAGGGAUGCUGGCCCAUGUUGACUCUACAAGGUGUUGAAAGCGUUCCACUGGGAUGCUGGUCCAUGUUGACUCUACAAGGUGUUGAAAGCAGGGAUACUGGCCCAUGUGGACUCUACAAGGUGUUGAAAGGGUUCCACAGGGAUGCUGGCCCAUGUUGACUCUACAAGGUGUUGAAAGCAGGGAUACUGGCCCAUGUGGACUCUACAAGGUGUUGAAAGCAGGGAUGCUGGUCCAUGUUGACUCUACAAGGUGUUGAAAGCAG
Molecule: long non-coding RNA, 407 nt
Organism: Oncorhynchus tshawytscha (Chinook salmon)
Lineage: Eukaryota; Metazoa; Chordata; Actinopteri; Salmoniformes; Salmonidae
Source: Ensembl